Molecule: ribosomal RNA, 504 nt
Filed under: uncultured bacterium
Lineage: Bacteria
Description: partial 16S ribosomal RNA
Rfam family: Bacterial small subunit ribosomal RNA
Source: RNAcentral
AUUGAACGCUGGCGGCAGGCCUAACACAUGCAAGUCGAACGGUAGCACAGAGAGCUUGCUCUCGGGUGACGAGUGGCGGACGGGUGAGUAACGUCUGGGAAACUGCCCAAUGGAGGGGGAUAACUACUGGAAACGGUAGCUAAUACCGCAUAACGUCACAAGACCAAAGUGGGGGACCUUCGGGCCUCACACCAUCGGAUGUGCCCAGAUGGGAUUAGCUAGUAGGUGGGGUAAUGGCUCACCUAGGCGACGAUCCCUAGCUGGUCUGAGAGGAUGACCAGCCACACUGGAACUGAGACACGGUCCAGACUCCUACGGGAGGCAGCAGUGGGGAAUAUUGCACAAUGGGCGCAAGCCUGAUGCAGCCAUGCCGCGUGUAUGAAGAAGGCCUUCGGGUUGUAAAGUACUUUCAGCGGGGAGGAAGGCGGUGAAGUUAAUAACUUCACCGAUUGACGUUACCCGCAGAAGAAGCACCGGCUAACUCCGUGCCAGCCGCCGCAGUAA